Molecule: ribosomal RNA, 497 nt
Filed under: uncultured bacterium
Lineage: Bacteria
Description: partial 16S ribosomal RNA
Rfam family: Bacterial small subunit ribosomal RNA
Source: RNAcentral
GAUGAACGCUGGCGGCGUGCCUAAUACAUGCAAGUCGAGCGAACAGACGAGGAGCUUGCUCCUCUGACGUUAGCGGCGGACGGGUGAGUAACACGUGGAUAACCUACCUAUAAGACUGGGAUAACUUCGGGAAACCGGAGCUAAUACCGGAUAAUAUAUUGAACCGCAUGGUUCAAUAGUGAAAGACGGUUUUGCUGUCACUUAUAGAUGGAUCCGCGCCGCAUUAGCUAGUUGGUAAGGUAACGGCUUACCAAGGCGACGAUGCGUAGCCGACCUGAGAGGGUGGUCGGCCACCCUUGAACGGAGACAGAGGCCAGACUCCUACGGGAGGCAGCAGUAGGGAAUCUUCCGCGAUUGGCGAAAGCCUGACGGAGCAACGCCGCGUGAGUGAUGAAGGUCUUCGGAUCGUAAAACUCUGUUAUUAGGGAAGAACAAAUGUGUAAGUAACUAUGCACGUCUUGACGGUACCUAAUCAGAAAGCCACGGCUAACUACGUG